UAUGCUUGUUGCGAAUGCAACUGAGCUGGUUUCUAGCUUCAAUCAUUAUUGGGUUGCACUGUUCUAUUUGUUUUCAUUUGUAUUGCCAUCAAAAGUUACUUACCGAUCGCUCAGUACACAUUCUACACGUGUUUUAUUGAUUUUUGUGUGGUUGCGAUAGUUUUGGAGAUUGACAUUUAAGCUUUCCAAAGACGUGUGUCUAGUAUCACAUUUUGCAAUCACUUUAGGCAAAAGUGCGUGGGCUCAACAUGUUGUUUGGUAAAAGAUAAAUUAAUUGUGUUAUGUUCUGUUUACAUGUUCUAUAUUUUAUUUUUGUCCAUUACUAAACUCUUCGCAUUAUGGGAUAAAUCCACUACGAAUAGAACGUUCACGUUUAGUCCUAGUUAACAAACAGCGUGGCCGCAAUGCAUAGAGCUUCCCAUCGCGUGACCCAACGUGACUCCUGCAGGAGAGCUUAGCAUAAGCUAUCACACAGAUGAAUCGUGUACUAAUGUUUCUAAAUUGUCCGUGUGUGUUAUGUGCUUUGUCCUGCUGCUUUACACCGGUCACAAUCGUAGUCCGGGUCAUCAGCAUCAGCUUUAGGGAUAAUAGCAAGCUUGGUGUUUUGUUUUUCAUUACCCAUCCAUUUAGGCGGAGGUUUUUAUUGCCCUUUACUUUUUUGUUAGAGUCCGUCUACGACCAGUGGUAGGAUGGCGCACGUCAGCUGGCGAAAAGAGUUUCACUCUACCGCCCUUUCUUCUUCACUGUUGCUUCAACUGCGCCGGGCCGGGACACAACCAUUAAUGGCACGGCAGAGGGAUGAGUUUUAUUUUUUAAGCGAUUGGAUUAGUGAAUGCUUCGCAGGUCCGUGGGUAGCAGUUGCAAUGAAAGGAAAGGAAAAGCAAGGAAAGGAAACAAAAUAAAUACAAGCUCAUCGCUUCUCAUUCCACGUGCCGGGGCAAAUAAAGCGUGGCCUGUUGCGGCUAAUCAUAAUCAGUGCGUGCCGAUCGUGCCAAACGAAUGCAGCGCAACCCGGAAAGCAUUUAAAACCAUCCGGAAAACAUUCCGAACUCUAUCAAGCUGUGCCAUUGUCCCGUGGUGGUGGAUAUAAAAAUCAAAACGAUAAGCUUUAGCAGUGGAGCAGUGGAGCGCGUUGUUUCGGAAAAUUCCUUCCCAUUCCCAUUUAUUGUGUUUUUCUUUUUGUUGCUGUGCCCAGAUAGCGAUCAGCCAUUCUUCCGCUUAAUGUGCGCGAGUGAGUGGAUUUGAGGCUUGAGUUUAUGUUUUACGGUCGAUAUUUAUAAGCGAUUAUGAUCUUAAUGCCUUCGGUUGGGACAACCGAACGAUAUCAUCCUUCUUGCCUGUUUGCCUCGACAAGAGCUCGGUGAAACAACAAGAGGAAUCAUUGAUUCGUUUCAUACCGUUGUUUGCUUUUUUAUUCACGAACAAUCCGGGUUUCACAUUCAUUUAGCUAUUCUUCCAAGCAUGCCAAUGAUAUGACAAUCGAUACAGUCUGGUUUAAACGAAAGAACAACAUCCACUUAUCCCUAUCUUUGACUGUUCAAAGAUGAAUUGAAACGAGAACCAUAACACAAGUAUCGAAUAAAAGCGAACGAUCAUUUGGUAGGGUAUAUUAACGUUGAUUAUGUUCCAAUUCUGUUCCGUGUAUGACCAAAAGCAUCAGCCGAGUAACGGGAUGGUACUGAGUUUCGGUUUGUACCUGCGACCGAACAAGCAUCAAUUUAUGUACCAUUUCUGUCUUUCAACGAGAACGAGAGGAAAAUUGCUAAUUUACCUCACUCAAAGAAAAGAGAAAUCGUAUCCUGGGAACAAGGAAGUUUAAUUGACCUACGUUACGAUGCAAAACGUCCGUCAACAUAGCUUUGAAGCCACCCAAAAUGCUCAUGAAACCAUCUCAUCUAGCCUGUUGUAUGGAUGUGCUUGAUGGGAGUGUAAUUUAAGAGGCUAUUUCAGAUUUUUUUCCUCUGUUUUGUUAUUCUUCUUUAUCAAUCCCACCCCCAUCCCCAUCUCCGGAAAUGACUCUUCGUUCGCGAAGACCCGAACGGAAAGGAUGAUACAUAGGCUGGAAGGUUCGGCAAGUGGUGCCUGCGACUAUUCAAAUGAGGAACGGGUGGAUUUAAACGUGAAAUGGACCGUCGUCAACAGUUGGAAAAGGAUGAUGCCAUGGAAUUCGCUACCCUACCCCGUGCCAGCCAGCCGGUAAGUGUGCGUCUUAAUUGACCAUUUUACGGUUUAUGUUGAGCAACGUCCAACCAAGUGAAUUGCGAUUCAAGUAGGUUUUGGGAGUGGAUCCAAACAUCCCACAUAGCUCAACAUAAACAACCACAUGCUGCGCUUCCAAACGUACCCAUUCUGUGGCUUUCCCAAAUGUUGGUUAGACGCCAGACGAGAAUGAUUUUAAAUAUCUUGUUUUAGAAUCGUUAGUUUUUGUUGCUAUUGUACUUCAUUGACUAUUAAUAACUCGUUGGCGAAGGAUUAACUGGAAUGUACCGGUGGUUCAAACGGGCCGGUACAAGGAGCUAUGAGUUCUAAAAUUAGAUGCCCAUUAAUUUAAACGCUGCACGAUUUCGUUCUCUUUCACGCGAUUUUUGCGAAAAUUCUAUCGGCAGGGAAGCUGUUUAAGUUUAAUCGGAACUAUUAAAUUGAUCCUUAAUUUUAUUGAACCUUUUUCACACAAAACAAAAAUCUCACUAAUUUGUUGCUCAUACUAGCUAAAACUUUUUCGCCAAUCUUUCGCAAAUGUAAACUAACUUUAACAGACGACUGUAUGAUAUUUAGUAUGUUUGUAAAUCUGUUGAAAAUUUUUAAUGUGUUCAUAAAUCAAUUGUUAAAACAUUAUUACAAAUUAAAAAUAUAUUACUAUGAACAUAUAUCGUCAUAUUUCACAAAGCGGUGGAUGCGUACUUACCUUCGCUGUAUCCGAUUUAUUUACUCAUUAUGGUUUAUGAUCCAAUUGUGUAUCAUAACGCAUUAUCUUCAAAUGUUCUUUAGAUGUUAUUUUUAUUUUUAAAAAAAGUUCACACGAAACAAAACAAUCAAAGCCGUAAUGCCUGUACUAAAUCGCAUCAUGCAACGACGCCCUUUUUAAAAGAUUGAUCCGCAACCGGUCCGCGCUGGUGACGUGCAUAAUGAGAUAAGCUUCGUAAAUCCGGCAACGACUUCACCACCAAAUGCCAAUAAAACGUUUAACAAGUAACGAACGAUUUCAAUUACGAGUUCAACGUUAACCGUCAAGACGAGCCGGCCAGGCGCCAGAAUCGACCGCGGACAAGUUAUCGCCCAUCAAACUUCGAUACCGGCAAGCCACUACGACCCGUUGGACCCACCGAACGCUCACCACAAAUCGGUCACCGGGGACAAAUUAUUUGCGUGCCCAUACUUUGCGCAUUUCACCCGCUGCCCUCGGUGUAACGAGCUUAUCUGCCAUCUUGCGUGCCCAUGCCGAGCAACCGUGUUGCAGCGCUGGUUGGCAACGAUGGGGCCUGGGCCACAAAUGUCCUGCGGUGACGGUUUUUCCCAUGACAACCCAAAUCACCGCACACGAUACGAUACGAUAAACACGCCCGCGCCCAGGAGCGUUGAGUGUGUGUGUGUGUGCAGAGGACGACACAACACGAGAAGAAGAAAGAGAAACGUUCGCUUACCGCCGGCCACCAAUCGAUCAACUCCUGCCCGUCAUCGUACGCAUCCAACAGCUUCACGUUUUUCUACGCGCGUGGAAUGGAAUUUUCCGCUCCGGUAGCGAACGCAGCAGCAAAGUAGCUUCGAGCAGUGACUAAAGAACUUUCCCGGAACAAUGCGUACGCAUGUGAGAGUGUUUGUGAGACCAGUUCAACUUAACUCAACGCUGCCAAAAACUUGCAAAGACUUGAAAGAGCAUGAAAAACAACUACAACAAAACCGCCGUCCCUAUCGGCAAUAAAAACAUUCCUUUCUAACGCCCGUUGGUUGAGUCGAAUGAUUUCUUGAUUUGAUUUUCCAUAGCUACGUGCCGCUAUGUUCCUCCCGCGUUUGGCACUUACCUAUUCUUUUCAUCAUGUUUGCAACGAAAACAAGUACUUCGGAAGAGGAUUGUACAUAUUUUUUCCCCGUUGAAUUGACCGAAUGACCUCCAGCUCUAUGCAUUAAUGCAUUUUGUUGAAGAUUCUAUUUGUAUACAUGAUUUAUGACUGGCACAGUUUUGCAUGGAGGUAGUUAAGUGAUAAUUAGGUAAAGAAUUUAAUUGGUUUAUGUUGGGGCGGUCUCGUGGAACAGUUGUAUACUCGUAUGACUUAAAAACAUAACAUACCCAUUACGGACCGUUAUGCAGAAUA
This is a long non-coding RNA of Anopheles coluzzii, 4310 nucleotides long. RefSeq lists it as uncharacterized. The record is from RefSeq and is a predicted model, not a curated record. Lineage: Eukaryota; Metazoa; Arthropoda; Insecta; Diptera; Culicidae. The transcript is spliced from 3 exons.